CCUACGGGAGGCAGCAGUGAGGAAUAUUGGUCAAUGGACGAGAGUCUGAACCAGCCAAGUAGCGUGAAGGAUGACUGCCCUAUGGGUUGUAAACUUCUUUUAUAUGGGAAUAAAAUGUUCCACGUGUGGGAUUUUGUAUGUACCAUAUGAAUAAGGAUCGGCUAACUCCGUGCCAGCAGCCGCGGUAAUACGGAGGAUCCGAGCGUUAUCCGGAUUUAUUGGGUUUAAAGGGAGCGUAGGUGGGUUGUUAAGUCAGUUGUGAAAGUUUGCGGCUCAACCGUAAAAUUGCAGUUGAAACUGGCAGUCUUGAGUACAGUAGAGGUGGGCGGAAUUCGUGGUGUAGCGGUGAAAUGCUUAGAUAUCACGAAGAACUCCGAUUGCGAAGGCAGCUCACUGGACUGCAACUGACACUGAGGCUCGAAAGCGUGGGUAUCGAACAGGAUUAGAUACCCCAGUAGUC
Molecule: ribosomal RNA, 460 nt
Filed under: uncultured bacterium
Lineage: Bacteria
Description: partial 16S ribosomal RNA
Rfam family: Bacterial small subunit ribosomal RNA
Source: RNAcentral